This 253-nucleotide ribosomal RNA is filed under the name uncultured bacterium. RNAcentral describes it as "partial 16S ribosomal RNA". It matches the Rfam family "Bacterial small subunit ribosomal RNA", at positions 524 to 776 of the family's 1533-position model. The record is from RNAcentral.
UACGAAGGGGGCUAGCGUUGCUCGGAAUCACUGGGCGUAAAGCGCACGUAGGCGGAUUGUUAAGUCGGGGGUGAAAUCCUGGAGCUCAACUCCAGAACUGCCUUCGAUACUGACGAUCUCGAGUCCGGGAGAGGUGAGUGGAACUCCGAGUGUAGAGGUGAAAUUCGUAGAUAUUCGGAAGAACACCAGUGGCGAAGGCGGCUCACUGGCCCGAUACUGACGCUGAGGCACGAAAGCGUGGGGAGCAAACAGG